GCAAAUGCAAGUGAGCCUCCAAGUUAUGGGCACAAACAGGGUCACUGGUUUCUUUCAAGAAAGGAGAGUUAUUGUGAUCCAGAAGCAACUCCACCCCAACAUGCGAGUAACACCACGGCAAUCCUCCUGCCAACUUCAUUAGCAUAGGCGGCACUUGUUCGUUGAAAAAAAAACCUGGCGACUUAGGCACUACGUCAUGCACAUUCACCACCCUCAAUGCUUUCACGCCCAGUGACUCGAUCCGCUCCUUAAAUCUCGCAUUCCCGACUCGAGGACCCGAAAACGAGAACACACAGACCGGCAGUGCUCGACAGUCUUGCAUCACAUGUAAACCUGUUUCGACAAUGUCGUACGCACUUAAUAUGGCCAGAGCGCUACCUAGACUGUGUCCGGUUAUGGUGAUGCUUACUUCCUCAUUAGCAUACAUUUCUGUUAACCGUUUUACCUCUGUCAGUAUUUGUUCUCUAGCUGAGAACUUGCAGAACCGACAGUUAGCGUCUUUGUCCGUGUAGAGAUCCAGGAAGCCGGAUUCGACCUUCACGGUUGGGUCUGGGCAUGGGAUUUUGUUUCCGUUAAUGGGCUUCAGGAAGUCCAUCAAGUCUGCAAUCCACUCCAGCCGCGUCACCGUACCCCUCCACGCAA
Molecule: unclassified non-coding RNA, 642 nt
Filed under: Hevea brasiliensis (rubber tree)
Lineage: Eukaryota; Viridiplantae; Streptophyta; Magnoliopsida; Malpighiales; Euphorbiaceae
Source: RNAcentral